RNAcentral lists this long non-coding RNA (1433 nucleotides) under Macaca fascicularis (crab-eating macaque). Its description in RNAcentral is "lncRNA (ENSMFAG00000049301.1)". Lineage: Eukaryota; Metazoa; Chordata; Mammalia; Primates; Cercopithecidae. The record is from RNAcentral.
UGCUUAAGAGUUUUAAUCAGUCUGCCAUAGAAAGCUCCUCCCCAUUCUCCAUCUUGGGGGCUCAGAUCUUGGCUUUGGGUUGGGAUAAGGGACAGGGUAUCAGGUUGGGAGGGGAGAGUAAAUAUGAAUACGGUUGAGGGACCAGAGCUGGGAUCAGAAGAAAGCGCAGGUGAGAAGGAGCAGAAAGUGGCUGCUAACCCCAGUCCCUGAGCCAAGUCAGAAAUCCAAGUCCUUUUAUAGCAUCCAUGAGCCAAAUGUAGUGAAAUCCACACGUCAUAUCGUUCUUAUCUGCAAAGUGCUGUCAUCUGGAGCCCAAAGCACCAGGGCAAGGCUGAAUUGGGCCCAAGUACCUGAAGGGUGUCACUUUAGGUCUGGAGAGUCAGGAGGAGAUGCCACCUUGGCCUAGAGAGUUGACAGCGAGCAUCAUCUCGGCCUGGAGGGGUGUGCAGGAAAUGCCACCUUGGUCCAGAGUUGGGAGGAAGAUCCCCUGCCUUGGGUUAGGAGAGGCCAUCAUUUUGGGCCUGCCGAAGUAAGGAAACCAUGGGGAGUCCCCAGAGCCCAGGAUCAGGGAGGUGUAAGCACGAUGGAAACAGCAAAAGUUAGCAAAACCUAUCCCACCUAUCCCAUGGCACAGCUGGACUUGGGAAACAGAAAUCAGGCUGAGAGGGUGGGGCUAAGCUCAAGGAGGAGGCAGGAGGCAGGAGGCAGAAGAUUGGAGAACAAAAAGUAGAACCAACCCACGGAACCAGGGCCAAGCCUGGGCAGCAGAACAAGGACCCAGCUGGCCGGGUGCAGUGGCCCACGCCUGUAAUCCCAGCACCUUGGGAGGUGAGGCGGGUGGGUCACCUGAAGCCAGGAGUUCGAGACCAGCCUGGCCAACAUGCUGAAACCUCAUCUCUACUAAAAAUAUAAAAAUUAGCCAGGCAUGGUGGUGCAUGCCUGUAAUCCUAGCUACUCGGAAGGCUGACGCAAGAGAAUCACUUGAACUCUGGAGAUGGGGGUGGCAGUGAGCCGAGAUCACGCCAUUGCACUCCAGCCUGGGCGACAGUGAGACCCUGUCUCUAAAAACAAAACAAGCACCCAGCCCAGGGGGAGGGCAGUUCUGGAGGUGGAGCUAGGAUGGGAGGCGUAGGCAAUUGAGUGAAGGAAGACGGCAGGGAAGCUGUGCCACAUCCUGGGUUCCUGUGGGAAGAGCGGGAACAAGCCCCCCACCACAAGCAGAAACACUCAGAGAGAGCACAGCCGGGUGUGAUGGCUCACACCUGUAACCCCAGCACUUUGGGACGCCAGGGUGGGAGAAUCGCUUGAGCCCGGGAGUUUGAGACCAGCCUGGGCAACACAGUGAGACCUUCUCCCCUCUUCAAACUGUCAGAAAAAAAAUUAACCGGGCAACUGGGCAUGGUGGUGUAGGUCUGCAGUCCCCGCUACUCUGG